AACAUCCAUUGGAAGUAUGCUGGCCUCCAUUAUGUCUAUCACUUUGUCCAAAUUUUACAUACCACCGCUGCCUUAAAUCCAUACCAUAGAUGAAGCAGCCAGAAAAAAGUUCCCACCAUGUUUGGCGGUGGUGUACCUGCCCUGUCGAGCAAUGCUUCAUGAAAAGCCCUAGAAAAUUGAUGGAGACGAAGAAGGCUAUGUUAAAAUCGAGGUUUGAGAUUAAUGGCGAAGGAUUUGAAGCAUCGUUGUCUUCAUUAAAGCAUCACAUUUACUAAAGUAUUUAAGAAGAUCACUGGUAUACUUUUUGGCCCAUGGAGUCUGGAUUAUGUUUUUUCUCACUCUCACCGUUGAAGAUGAACUAUUGUUUUUGUCUGUUGAUCAUUUCCAUAUGGAAAGGCAAAGCACCUUUAGAGAAAGAUACGGGGGUAAUCACAAGUAAUGGAAAAGAAUGGGGAUAAAGAAAUUGCCACUCCCAAGGUAUCAGGGCUAGCUUGACAAUGCAGGUAUAUCCCUAAUUAAUAUUGUUUCUAAUCCAGGGUUAAUAAUUUAAUAUGAUAUUUCCUAGAUCUUUCUCACUCUAGAAACUGUAGAAUGAUAACAUUUUGUAAUGUUUAUAUACAAUAAUGCUGUUAUAUAUUCAAAUUUUAACAUAAACGUAGUUCCAAACUCCUUUAGAGACACCGGAAAGACCCAUGGUACAGAUAUCAACAUAUUCAGAACCAGAAGGAACAUUUUGAAAGAUGCUUGUUACUGGAAGGAUAAUUUGCAACUAUGAUGUAAAAUUGUAACUUGAAUUGUUUAUUGGCAAGCUUUAAUUUUUUUUUCCCAUGCUAGCAAUGUAGUUACAUCCAUUUAGUUUCA
Non-coding RNA from Lactuca sativa (garden lettuce), 861 nucleotides. NCBI's taxonomy places the organism in Eukaryota, Viridiplantae, Streptophyta, Magnoliopsida, Asterales, Asteraceae. The record is from RefSeq and is a predicted model, not a curated record.